Molecule: ribosomal RNA, 427 nt
Filed under: uncultured bacterium
Lineage: Bacteria
Description: bacterial SSU rRNA
Rfam family: Bacterial small subunit ribosomal RNA
Source: RNAcentral
UGGGGAAUUUUGGACAAUGGGCGCAAGCCUGAUCCAGCCAUGCCGCGUGAGGGAAGAAGGCCUUCGGGUUGUAAACCGCUUUUGUCAGGGAAGAAAUCCUUUGAGCUAAUACCUCGGGGGGAUGACGGUACCUGAAGAAUAAGCACCGGCUAACUACGUGCCAGCAGCCGCGGUAAUACGUAGGGGGCAAGCGUUAAUCGGAAUUACUGGGCGUAAAGCGUGCGCAGGCGGUUUUGUAAGACAGAGGUGAAAUCCCCGGGCUCAACCUGGGAACUGCCUUUGUGACUGCAAGGCUCGAGUGCGGCAGAGGGGGAUGGAAUUGCGAGUGUAGAAGUGAAAUUCGUAGAUAUGCGGAGGAACACCGAUGGCGAAGGCAAUCCCCUGGGCCUGCACUGACGCUCAUGCACGAAAGCGUGGGGAGCAAACA